GUCAUCGGUUCAAUCCGAUAAAGGGCU
This 27-nucleotide transfer RNA is filed under the name Barbosella australis. RNAcentral describes it as "partial tRNA-Thr". Lineage: Eukaryota; Viridiplantae; Streptophyta; Magnoliopsida; Asparagales; Orchidaceae. The record is from RNAcentral.